CUGUGAGUCAGCCCGGCAGGCUGCAGACUGUCGCCCCAAUAAAGCUUGCUUGAACGUCCGUGUGUGCCCCCCUUCUUCGGCGACCCUUUCAGUCCUUAUAAAGUAUGUACCUGAAGAAUUCUACUUAAACAUCAGUGAAUAAUUUUAAAGGCAGAAGAACAAGGAAUCUGUCUCUCUCAAACAUAUAUGUAUCAGGUACUAUAUUGAAGAAGAAUGGUAAGUGAGGACAUGAUUGUCGUAUUCCAGAUCUUAAAAGAAAGUUUCAGCUUUUCCCCAUUAACUACAAUGCUGGAUGUGAGUUUGUCACUUACAACUUUUAUUAUGUUAGGAUAUUUGUUCAUUUUAUAUCUAAUUUCAAGAAGAUUUUUAUUAUGG
Long non-coding RNA from Heterocephalus glaber (naked mole-rat), 375 nucleotides. The record is from Ensembl. Lineage: Eukaryota; Metazoa; Chordata; Mammalia; Rodentia; Bathyergidae.